RNAcentral lists this ribosomal RNA (604 nucleotides) under uncultured bacterium. RNAcentral's name for it is "bacterial SSU rRNA". The stretch from base 1 to 539 matches the Rfam family "Bacterial small subunit ribosomal RNA", at positions 338 to 873 of the family's 1533-position model. The record is from RNAcentral.
CCUACGGGAGGCAGCAGUGGGGAAUUUUGGACAAUGGGCGCAAGCCUGAUCCAGCAAUGCCGCGUGCAGGAUGAAGGCCUUCGGGUUGUAAACUGCUUUUGUACGGAACGAAAAAGUCUGCCCUAAUACGGUGGGCCCAUGACGGUACCGUAAGAAUAAGCACCGGCUAACUACGUGCCAGCAGCCGCGGUAAUACGUAGGGUGCGAGCGUUAAUCGGAAUUACUGGGCGUAAAGCGUGCGCAGGCGGUUAUAUAAGACAGAUGUGAAAUCCCCGGGCUCAACCUGGGACCUGCAUUUGUGACUGUAUAGCUAGAGUACGGUAGAGGGGGAUGGAAUUCCGCGUGUAGCAGUGAAAUGCGUAGAUAUGCGGAGGAACACCGAUGGCGAAGGCAAUCCCCUGGACCUGUACUGACGCUCAUGCACGAAAGCGUGGGGAGCAAACAGGAUUAGAUACCCUGGUAGUCCACGCCCUAAACGAUGUCAACUGGUUGUUGGGUCUUCACUGACUCAGUAACGAAGCUAACGCGNGAGUGACGCCGNGGNGACGCGCGAGUGAAGUAAGAAGUAGAGNGNGNGAGNGCGAGACGACGACGAGGGAGGAGG